Molecule: ribosomal RNA, 443 nt
Filed under: uncultured bacterium
Lineage: Bacteria
Description: partial 16S ribosomal RNA
Rfam family: Bacterial small subunit ribosomal RNA
Source: RNAcentral
CCUACGGGUGGCAGCAGUGGGGAAUAUUGGGCAAUGGGCGCAAGCCUGACCCAGCAACGCCGCGUGCAGGAAGAAGGCUUUCGGGUUGUAAACUUCUUUUAUCAGGGACGAAACAUGUGACGGUACCUGAUGAAUAAACCACCGCUAACUACGUGCCAGCAGCCGCUGUAAUACGUAGGUGGCAAGCGUUAUCCGGAUUUACUGGUUGUAAAGGUCGUGUGGGCUGGAUGGCAAGUCAGAUGGGAAAACUAGGGGCUCAACCCAUAGCCUGCCUUUGAAACUGGACUGCUUGAGUGCGCGAGAGGUAAGCGGAAUUCCGUGUGUAGCGGUGAAAUGCUUAGAUAUACGGAGGAACACCAGUGGCGAAGGCGGAUUGCUGGACAGCAACUGACGCUGAGGCGCGAAAGCGUGGGGAGCGAACAGGAUUAGAUACCCGUGUAGUC